This 636-nucleotide ribosomal RNA is filed under the name uncultured bacterium. RNAcentral's name for it is "bacterial SSU rRNA". It matches the Rfam family "Bacterial small subunit ribosomal RNA", at positions 754 to 1390 of the family's 1533-position model. The record is from RNAcentral.
CGAAAGCGUGGGGAGCGAACAGGAUUAGAUACCCUGGUAGUCCACGCCGUAAACGAUGAGUGCUAAGUGUUGGAGGGUUUCCGCCCUUCAGUGCUGCAGCAAACGCAUUAAGCACUCCGCCUGGGGGGUACGACCGCAAGGUUGAAACUCAAAGGAAUUGACGGGGGCCCGCACAAGCGGUGGAGCAUGUGGUUUAAUUCGAAGCAACGCGAAGAACCUUACCAGGUCUUGACAUCCUUUGACCACUCUAGAGAUAGAGCUUCCCCUUCGGGGGCAAAGUGACAGGUGGUGCAUGGUUGUCGUCAGCUCGUGUCGUGAGAUGUUGGGUUAAGUCCCGCAACGAGCGCAACCCUUAUUGUUAGUUGCCAUCAUUUAGUUGGGCACUCUAGCGAGACUGCCGGUGACAAACCGGAGGAAGGUGGGGAUGACGUCAAAUCAUCAUGCCCCUUAUGACCUGGGCUACACACGUGCUACAAUGGGAAGUACAACGAGUUGCGAAGUCGCGAGGCUAAGCUAAUCUCUUAAAGCUUCUCUCAGUUCGGAUUGUAGGCUGCAACUCGCCUACAUGAAGCCGGAAUCGCUAGUAAUCGCGGAUCAGCACGCCGCGGUGAAUACGUUCCCGGGCCUUGUACACAC